UACGUAGGGAGCAAGCGUUGUCCGGAAUCAUUGGGCGUAAAGCGCGCGUAGGCGGCCCUGUAAGUCCGUUGUGAAAGUCAAAGGCUCAACCUUUGAAAGCCGAUGGAUACUGCAGGGCUAGAGUCCGGAAGAGGCGAGUGGAAUUCCUGGUGUAGCGGUGGAAUGCGCGGAUAUCAGGAGGAACACCGAUGGCGAAGGCAGCUCGCUGGGACGGUACUGACGCUGAGGCGCGAAAGCGUGGGGAGCGAACAGG
Molecule: ribosomal RNA, 253 nt
Filed under: uncultured bacterium
Lineage: Bacteria
Description: partial 16S ribosomal RNA
Rfam family: Bacterial small subunit ribosomal RNA
Source: RNAcentral